UAGGGAAUAUUAGAAAUGGACGAAAGUCUGAUCUAGCAACACCGCGUGUGCGAUGAAGGCCUUCGGGUUGUAAAGCACUUUUUGGAAGGAUUAGGAAGGAAUGUACUUCCAGAAUAAGUCUCGGCUAACUACGUGCCAGCAGCCGCGGUAACACGUAGGAGGCGAACGUUAUCCGGAUUUACUGGGCGUAAAGCGCGUGUAGGUGGUUCUGUAAGUAGGGCGUGAAAGCUCCUGGCUCAACUGGGAGAGGCCGUUCUAAACUGCAGAGCUAGAGGAUGGUAGAGGGAGGUGGAAUUCCGGGUGUAGCGGUGGAAUGCGCAGAUAUCCGGAGGGACACCAGUGGCGAAGGCGGCCUCCUGGACCAUUCCUGACACUCAGACGCGAAAGCUAGGG
Molecule: ribosomal RNA, 393 nt
Filed under: uncultured bacterium
Lineage: Bacteria
Description: bacterial SSU rRNA
Rfam family: Bacterial small subunit ribosomal RNA
Source: RNAcentral